RNAcentral lists this ribosomal RNA (529 nucleotides) under Idopelma unicolor. Its description in RNAcentral is "partial 16S ribosomal RNA". The stretch from base 373 to 529 matches the Rfam family "Bacterial large subunit ribosomal RNA", at positions 2473 to 2631 of the family's 2925-position model. The record is from RNAcentral. Lineage: Eukaryota; Metazoa; Arthropoda; Insecta; Coleoptera; Curculionidae.
AGGUCUAACCUGCUMAUGAUAUAUAUAUAUAUAUUAAAUAGCUGCGGUAUAUUGACCGUGCAAAGGUAGCAUAAUCAUUAGUUUUUUAAAUGAAAGCUGGCAUGAAAGGUUUAAUAAGAAAAUAGCUGUCUCUAUUUAAAUUUUUUUGAAAUUUAUUUUUAAGUUAAAAAGCUUAAAUGAUUAUAAAAGACGAGAAGACCCUAUAGAGUUUUAUAAUAAAAAGAAUAAAUAAUAAUUUAGGAUUUUAAAAUUUAUUAUAAAAAUUAUUUAKUUGGGGUGAUUGAAAAAUUUGAUAAACUUUUUUUUUARAAAGCCAUUUAUUUUUGAAUAUUUGAUCCUUGUUUUAAGAUUAUAAGAUAAAAUUACCUUAGGGAUAACAGCGUAWUUUUUUAAAAAGUCCUUAUUAWAAAGAAAGAUUGCGACCUCGAUGUUGGAUUAAAARAAAUUAUUGGUGUAWAAGCUAAUAAAUUAGGUCUGUUCGACCUUUAAAAUUUUACAUGAUCUGAGUUUAGACCGGCGUGAGCCAGGU